This 428-nucleotide unclassified non-coding RNA is filed under the name plant metagenome. RNAcentral's name for it is "partial contains 5.8S ribosomal RNA, internal transcribed spacer 2, and large subunit ribosomal RNA". It matches the Rfam family "Bacterial small subunit ribosomal RNA", at positions 358 to 777 of the family's 1533-position model. The record is from RNAcentral.
GGAAUUGUUCACAAUGGGCGCAAGCCUGAUGACGCAACGCCGCGUGGGGGAUGAAGGUCUUCGGAUCGUAAACCCUUGUCGAACGGAAAGAAUGACUCGCGCACUAACACUGCGCGGGACUGACGGUACCGUUAAAGGAAGCCACGGCUAACUCUGUGCCAGCAGCCGCGGUAAUACAGAGGUGGCAAGCGUUGUUCGGAAUUACUGGGCGUAAAGGGCGCGUAGGCGGCCAUCUAAGUCAGACGUGAAAUCCCCCGGCUUAACCUGGGAACUGCGUCUGAUACUGGAAGGCUAGAAUUUGGGAGAGGGAUGUGGAAUUCCAGGUGUAGCGGUGAAAUGCGUAGAUAUCUGGAGGAACACCGGUGGCGAAGGCGGCAUCCUGGACCAACAUUGACGCUGAGGCGCGAAAGCUAGGGGAGCAAACGGGA